This is a non-coding RNA of Aegilops tauschii subsp. strangulata, 2315 nucleotides long. Lineage: Eukaryota; Viridiplantae; Streptophyta; Magnoliopsida; Poales; Poaceae. The record is from RefSeq and is a predicted model, not a curated record.
GCCCGCAUCCCCUGCAAUGGCUUUUCUAAAAGGAAAAAAUCUCCGGCAUUGGCGACGCCGGCGGUGGGUGACCAGAGCCAGCCGCCGACGCUUCUCCCUGUUCACGCCCUUCGUCCCACGCGUUCAAGAACAUAAAUAUGGCUUGGUGUAACUGCAAAUUGGGCAGCUUUUCCAGGGUAUGGGGUAAAAGGUCGAGCCUUUACUGAGGUCCAUAACACUGUAUCUUCCAUCAGGACAGUCAAUCAGCGCUAUCAUGGAUGUUUUCGUCCUUUGCAUACACAUGCUGAAGUACUUUUUGUUGGCAGAUGGAAAGGAUCCAUGAAUCAUGAUGCCAGAAUUAUCUUACGGACGAUUCUUAACCUCUCUUUUCCUGUUACUAUAUGUUACAGGUAAAUAAUUCAGUGUCCAAGUUGCUGCAGUCUGUAACGCUGAAUGUUCUACUGCAUAUGGUUUUUAUAUUUAGACGAACUUGGUUUACCUGAAACUGAUUUCUAUUUCCUGGACAUUUUAAACUAAUUCGCUAUGGAAUCUGUAGGUCUGUUGUUUGCUUGUCCUAUCAAGGUAAUUUAAUAAGCUAACAGAAUCAUUGAGCGACUCUGCUUUUGAGUGCAUAUGUCACUGUUUUAUUUAUCACGAACUUAUAUGCUGUUCCAUUUGUCACACAAGGCUAUAUACUUGACCAUUGGGACAAUGCAUCCUUUCUUCAAUUGGUCAAAGGUUGAUUUGAAAGAAAAGAAAGGCUAUGGUAGAUGAACAGUGAUCUAUGAGCACACUGCUACUGAUGAUCGAUAAUUUGAUGCUGCUUCCUGUGUUUCAUUUAAUAUUCGAGCUAGUUGCUAGCUCUGAUUGUAUGGUUUCCAUCUCCCUUGCCCACUUCUCUGUCUAGUUUCCACCAUAAAAUAGCAUCCAGUGACUGGGCUGCAAAUAUAUCUUUAAGACAUAUAUACUCCCUCUGUCCCAUAAUGUAAGACGUUUUUUGACACUAGUGUUGUGUCAAAAGACGUCUUACAUUAUGGGACGGAGGGAGUAGUUUUUAGUUAAGGUGAUAUGAUGACAGGGAGUUUGUAUCUACAACUAAAAUUUGAAUUAGUCAAGCAUAUUUACUGAAGCAAAGUUACACCACGUAAAGCAUGGUAUUGUGUGUUCUUAGUCGCAUCAGUAGAGGGAAAGGAUGUCUAACACUCAUGCUCUUCUGUGGUUGGGUAGUUAAGAGGAAAAGGCAAUAAAGCUUCCGGUGUCUAAUCUCUUUCGACAUGUGCUGGCAUUCCAACGAAGCAUAAGCCAGUAUCAUGGUAUUUCCAAUAUGAGGUUGCAUUGCGUCUGAGACCGAGUUUUCGAAGGGUGAAGCCUGCCUAGGACAAGAAUGCACAUGUUUCUUCUUGUUGUUCCAUGUGAUCUCUGCACUUGCUCUGAAGAAAGGUGAUGUGAUUGCUUUGUGAACUACCUAAGCCUAAUCCCAAAUGCAAAAAGGGAGCUGGCAUGGUUCUUCCCUUGCAUAAUUAUCUUUGUCAGCUCAGAAUAUUCCUGCAGGUUUUCACUACUUCCAAAUGUCUUUUUACUCUGCACAGCACACACUAUUGCAGCUUUGAUAUUUGUUUUUCUCCAAGAUGUUAUUUCUCCCGGUGUUAUGUUCUCCUGCCUCAAGAUCUUAACUUUGGGAUGGAAAUCACAAAAAUAAUAGCCUUCACAUGUCCCUGCCGUUAGCAAUGCUGAGUUUCUGACUGUAUCAGAUGAAUCUUUGUACGCUUCGUUUGUCAAGUUGAGAUUCCUUCAUAUGUUUUGCAUUAUUAAGAUUUUAAGUAUUGAAAUAUGUAUUGCUAUCCUUGUAAUACUAAUUGGGUAUCAUUAAAAACCGAGGUUUGUGUUCUUUGUCUGACAGAUGUUUAAAAUCCCUGCUUUUGAAGUAGAUGCAGCACCUAAGAAAGGUGAAGGCGUGAUGACCUUGGACCCCACUCAAACAGGGACCAUCCAUAGUCUACAUGUAAUAGCAUGUUUGGGCUGCCCUGCAAUAUCUGAAUGCUUCUGGUACGUUUGGUAUUCAAUCAAGUAGAUUGUGUCAUCACAAGUUUAAGCCAGGACAUCCUAUACCGUUAUGGAUUUAUUUUUCCAUAACGAGUCACUAAUCCGUAGUGGUAAGUACAAGUACAUAUUUGCGUGCUUGAUUAAAAGAUAUUUUUUUCACCUUUGCGAUAAUUGCAUGAUUGUGAUCCCUUCUUUUUCUGUAUAUGAUUGUUGCACUUUAGCUUUUCCCCUAUCACACUCGGUCAAUUGUUGUUUAGGAGUCUAAAUCGAUAUAAAUCCAUGUCCACACAUUA